CAGGGGGGGCAAGCGUUGUUCGGAAUUACUGGGCGUAAAGGGUCUGUAGGUGGCCAACUAAGUCAGACAUGAAAUCCCUCAGCUUAACUGGGGAACUGCGUCUGAUACUGGAUGGCUUGAGUGCAGGAGAGGAAUGCGGAAUUCCAGGUGUAGCGGUGAAAUGCGUAGAUAUCUGGAGGAACACCGGUGGCGAAGGCGGCAUUCUGGACUGCAACUGACACUGAGAGACGAAAGCCAGGGGAGCAAACGGGAUUAGAUACCCCGGUAGUCCUGGCCCUAAACGAUGAAUGCUUGGUGUAACGGGUAUCGAUCCCUGUUGUGCCGAAGCUAACGCAUUAAGCAUUCCGCCUGGGGAGUACGGUCGCAAGGCUG
RNAcentral lists this ribosomal RNA (372 nucleotides) under uncultured organism. RNAcentral describes it as "bacterial SSU rRNA". It matches the Rfam family "Bacterial small subunit ribosomal RNA", at positions 526 to 896 of the family's 1533-position model. The record is from RNAcentral.